UACGUAGGGUGCAAGCGUUGUCCGGAAUUAUUGGGCGUAAAGAGCUCGUAGGCGGUCUGUCGCGUCUGCUGUGAAAACUCGGGGCUUAACCCCGGGCCUGCAGUGGGUACGGGCAGACUAGAGUGCGGUAGGGGAGACUGGAAUUCCUGGUGUAGCGGUGAAAUGCGCAGAUAUCAGGAGGAACACCGGUGGCGAAGGCGGGUCUCUGGGCCGUAACUGACGCUGAGGAGCGAAAGCGUGGGGGGCAAACAGG
Molecule: ribosomal RNA, 253 nt
Filed under: uncultured bacterium
Lineage: Bacteria
Description: partial 16S ribosomal RNA
Rfam family: Bacterial small subunit ribosomal RNA
Source: RNAcentral